UCUAGGUCCCACCAUUUGCCUGCAGAUUUCAUAAGGAAGGAAUCAUGCUGGCAAGAUGGCUCAGUGGUUAGAGGUGCUUGCUGCCAAGUGUGAUGACCUAGGUUUGAUGCCGAGGACCCAUAUGGGAGGAGAGAAUUGACCACCACAAGUUUUCUUCUGACCUUCAAGUGCAUUUGCUGUGGCAUGUGACGCCCCUUCCAUAAUUAAAUAAAUGGAACAAAAUACUUGAUCUGGAUUUAAAUUUACAAAAUUUCAUUUCAUGUUACUUUUGAAUAGUAGCCAUAGUAUUAUGGAAACUGUAUCAAGGCUGUGACAGAUUUGCUAAGAAGUAAAAGACUGGGAAUGUUUCAUGGGGUGGAUUUGGUACUCAUGUUUUUGGUCAUCUCCAUUUUCAUCGGUACAGGACGUGCAUCCAGUUAUGUAGAGUUGAAGGGGGCAUAUCUAGUAAAAUUUUGACAAUAUUUUGUUAGUAGUUUCACAUUUGUAAAGUGAUUUUUCUAUUAAAUGCUUUAUAAUUGGAGGUUUGAGUUUGUAGAAACAAACUCAAAAGCAACAACAAAAUAAAA
Meriones unguiculatus (Mongolian gerbil) is the source of this 566-nucleotide long non-coding RNA. RefSeq lists it as uncharacterized. The transcript is spliced from 2 exons. NCBI's taxonomy places the organism in Eukaryota, Metazoa, Chordata, Mammalia, Rodentia, Muridae. The record is from RefSeq and is a predicted model, not a curated record.